ACAGAGGGGGCAAGCGUUGUUCGGAAUUACUGGGCGUAAAGGGCGCGUAGGCGGCCCGCUAAGUCGAACGUGAAAUCCCCGGGCUCAACCCGGGAACUGCGUCCGAUACUGGCAGGCUUGAAUUCGGGAGAGGGAUGCGGAAUUCCAGGUGUAGCGGUGAAAUGCGUAGAUAUCUGGAGGAACACCGGUGGCGAAGGCGGCAUCCUGGACCGAGAUUGACGCUGAGGCGCGAAAGCCAGGGGAGCAAACGGGAUUAGAUACCCCGGUAGUCCUGGCCCUAAACGAUGAAUGCUUGGUGUGGCGGGUAUCGAUCCCUGCCGUGCCGAAGCUAACGCAUUAAGCAUUCCGCCUGGGGAGUACGGUCGCAAGGCUG
This 373-nucleotide ribosomal RNA is filed under the name uncultured bacterium. RNAcentral describes it as "bacterial SSU rRNA". It matches the Rfam family "Bacterial small subunit ribosomal RNA", at positions 525 to 896 of the family's 1533-position model. The record is from RNAcentral.